This 368-nucleotide long non-coding RNA is filed under the name Hordeum vulgare. RNAcentral describes it as "long non-coding RNA (HVUL_LNC011855)". Lineage: Eukaryota; Viridiplantae; Streptophyta; Magnoliopsida; Poales; Poaceae. The record is from RNAcentral.
AGUAUUCUAACAACUUAUGAUGAACAUGUAUCUCUCUAAAAUAGGUGUGCCCAACAAACAAUGAUUGUGGCAGACUAAAGUAAAAUCACACUAUAAUGCACGAUUCUCCAAGCAAAACACAUAUCAUUAGAUGAAUAAAAAUAUAGCUCCAAGUGACAUACCGAUAGAAUGGAGACGAAAGAGGGAUUGCAUUCCGGGGCAUCCCCAAAUUUACAUGCUUGGGUAUUCAUUGAGUAUUACCUUGGGGUACCAUGGGCAUUCCCAAGCUUAAGAUCUUGCCGCUCCUUAUUCCUUCAUCCAUCGUUGUCUCAAAAACUUAAAAACUUCACCAUUAAAAACUCAAGAGGAACCUUGUGAUAUCCGUUAGU